This 468-nucleotide ribosomal RNA is filed under the name uncultured bacterium. Its description in RNAcentral is "partial 16S ribosomal RNA". It matches the Rfam family "Bacterial small subunit ribosomal RNA", at positions 28 to 507 of the family's 1533-position model. The record is from RNAcentral.
GACGAACGCUGGCGGCGUGCUUAACACAUGCAAGUCGAACGGAAAGGCCCUGCUUUUGUGGGGUGCUCGAGUGGCGAACGGGUGAGUGACACGUGAGUAACCUGCCCUUGACUUUGUGAUAACUUCAGGGAACUGGGGCUAAUACCGGAUAGAAGCUCCUGCUGCGUGGUGGUGGUUGGAAAGUUUCGGCGGUUGUGGAUGGACUCGCGGCUUAUCCGCUUGUUGGGGGGGUAGUGGCUUACCAAGGCUUUGACGGGUAGCCGGCCUGAGAGGGUGACCGGCCACAUUGGGACUGAGAUACGGCCCAGAAUCCUACGGGAGGCAGCAGUGGGGAAUAUUGCACAAUGGGCGGAAGCGUGAUGCAGCAACGCCGCGUGCGGGAUGACGGCCUUCGGGUUGUAAACCGCUUUCGACUGUGACGAAGCGUUAGUGACGGUAAUGGGUAAAGAAGCACCGGCUAACUACGUG